UACGUAGGGUGCAAGCGUUGUCCGGAAUUAUUGGGCGUAAAGAGCUCGUAGGCGGUUUGUUGCGUCGGCUGUGAAAUCCCGAGGCUCAACCUCGGGUCUGCAGUCGAUACGAGCAAACUAGAGUGUUGCAGGGGAGACUGGAAUUCCUGGUGUAGCGGUGAAAUGCGCAGAUAUCAGGAGGAACACCGGUGGCGAAGGCGGAUCUCUGGGCCUUACCUGACGCUCAGGCGCGAAAGCUAGGGGAGCGAACAGG
Molecule: ribosomal RNA, 253 nt
Filed under: uncultured bacterium
Lineage: Bacteria
Description: partial 16S ribosomal RNA
Rfam family: Bacterial small subunit ribosomal RNA
Source: RNAcentral